This 5051-nucleotide long non-coding RNA is filed under the name Capsicum annuum. Its description in RNAcentral is "long non-coding RNA (CANN_LNC003008)". Lineage: Eukaryota; Viridiplantae; Streptophyta; Magnoliopsida; Solanales; Solanaceae. The record is from RNAcentral.
UCCCCUUUUUUCGAUUUUCUCUUCAUCAUCAGUGAUGGACUUGACUUUUUAUUUAGUCUGUCAUGUUGCAACUAUUGACAAAUAAACUUUCACCUUCAAGAUCUUUCCUCAGUACUAAUAACUUCCUAGAAAUCCUUUGAUUAGUAAUUUUUCAGUGCAAACUCUCGUCCUCUUUAAGCCUGAUUUAUAUUUUGUUGAAUAUUGAUUCAAAGGUCGUUAGUGCUUCCUAGUUAGUUGGCAGAGUAACACGUUUGUUAGGAGUCCUAGUUUAGUCGAAGCAUAUCUCUGUUAGUUGCUAAUAUUUAGGUUAGUGGAUAAUUAGUGUCUAGUAAGUGGGCAUGUUUUCAGUAAGUGGUUAGGUUAUUUUUUAUUCCUAUCUAAAGAGUCCUAUGUAACUUUGUUUAGUUGUAUGAAUGAAAAUGCGUGAAGUUCUCUGUAACUAUAUUCUUCUUCUUAUACAUUGCUCCUAUUUUCUUCAAUUUCCCAACAGUUUUUGGUAUCAGAGCGCAGAGAGAGUAUCUUUCUCUUAAUUUUUCCUCUCUGUCCAGGUUAGGUCAAACUGGGAGAUAAGGCAAGAGCAAGAAGAAAGUCAAAAUUGAGGGCAAAGAAUGGCUACCAAUUCAGCAUCUUCCACGUCUCAGCAACUAAUUCCAAUCUUUAAUGGAGAUAGAUAUGAAUUCUGGAGCAUAAAGAUGAAGACAUUGUUCAAGUCUCAUGAAUUGUGGGAUUUAGUGGAGAAUGGCUAUGCUGAGGAAGAUGAAGCACAAAGGUUGCGGGAGAACAAAAAGAAGGACUCUAAGGCAUUGUUCUACAUCCAGCAGGCUAUGCACGACUCGUUUUUUUCCAGUAACCUCAAAGCAGGCAUGGGAUAUUCUGAAGAAAGAAUUCCAUGGCUCGACAAAGGUAAUGAUUGUUAAACUCCAAUCACUUCGCCGUGAUUUCAAAAAUUCAUUCAUGAAAAGUAGUGAAUCUAUACAAGACUACUUAUCUAGAGUCAGUACAAUUGUUAAUCAUAUGAAGGCAUAUGGUGACAAAAUUACUGAUGAAAAUGUAGUUGCUAAAGUUCUAAGAAGUCUUAAUAAAAGAUUUGAUCAUGUCGUAGCUGUCAUUGAGGAAUCCCAUAAUUUAUCUGAUUAUGGUUUUGAUGAAUCGAUAAGUUCCUUACAAGCUCAUGAGGAUAGAUUGAAUGCCUCUCAAGAAAAGGGUGAAGAGAAAGCAUUUCAAAUCAAGGGAGAGUCUUCUUUCAAAGGCAAAUCCGAAGUCUCAAAUGCCAGAGGAUGCAGAGGUAGAGGUAGUUUCCGUGGUCGAGGUCGUGGCAGAGGACGAGCUUAAUUUGGUGGUAAGAACCGACAGUUUAAGAGCAAUAUUCAGUGCCGCUAUUAAAAAAAAAAUGGGGCACAAGGAAGUUGAUUGCUGGACUAAACAGAAGGAUGAACAACAACAGGCAAAUUUUACUGAGAAACAACAAGAGGAGCAUAAUCUAUUCAUGGCUCACUCCUCAGUAGAUGUUGGUUCGAAUGAAGUUUGGAUCAUUGAUAAUGGUUGAUCCAACCACAUGUCUGGUAGAAGGUCAUUGUUCAAAGAACUUGAUGAAUUAGAGAAGACAGAAGUACGGCUUGGGAAUGACAAGGCAAUGAAAGUCGAAGGGGAAGGUAUAAUUGCUCUAAAAACUUCUCCAAACUUCUCCAUGAUGUGAGUAUGUUCCUUGUCUAGCCCAUAACUUGUUGAGUGUUGGGCAACUGAUAGCUUAUGGAUACUCCAUUCUAUUUGAUGACAAUUCUUGUAGCAUUCAAGAUAAAAAAAAAAAAAACAGGAUACAAAAUUGAUGACAUUCAAAUGACUCAAAAUAGAAUGUUUCCUCUUGAAGUUUCAGAUGUUAAAAGUUUUGCAUUAGUUACCAAAGAUAGUACUAAAGCUAAUUUAUGGCAUUUGAGGUAUGGUCAUUUGAAUUUAAAGGGGUUGCAAUUAUUAGGUGUCGAAAUAUGGUUCUAGGUUUGCCUAGAAUUGAUGCUCUUGAAUUCUGUGAAGGAUGUGUGUAUGGGAAACAAAAUAGAAAUUCAUUUCCUGUAGGCAAGUCUCGGAGAGCUUCUGGUUGUCUUGAACUGGUGCAUACUAAUCUAUAUGGUCCUAUGAGUGUUGAGUCCUUAGGUGGAAGUCGAUAUUUUCUACUUUUUACGGAUGAUUAUAGGUGAAUGAGUUGUGUAUAUUUCUGAAAUUCAAAUCUGAAAUAUUUGAGAAUUUUAAGAAAUAUAAGUGUUUUGUUGAGAAAGAAAAAGUGGUUGUAGAAUUAAGACUCUUCGAACAUAUAGAGGUGGUGAAUUUAUGUCAAAUGAAUUCAACAUUUUUUGUGAGGAAAAUGGUAUUCACAGAGAUCUCACAGUAUCAUAUACACCAGAGUAGAAUGGUGUAGCGGAACGACAGAACCGGACAGUUGUUGAAAUGGGCAGAAGCAUGAUGCAAGCCAGAGGUGUACCAAAGUAUUUCUGGGUGAAGCUGUUGCUACUGCUGUCUAUAUGCUGAACAUUUCACACACCAUAUGAAGCAUGGAGAGAUAACAAGCCCAAGGUAAGCCACUUACGUGUAUUUGGAUGUAUAGUUUAUACUUUAGUGAACUCACAGGCUAGGCAAAAGCUUGAUAAAAAAUCAAAAAAAUGUGUCUUUGUUGGAUAUAGCACACAAUCCAAAGCUUACAAGCUAUAUGAUCCAGUGAGUGGCAAAAUUAUGAUAAGUAGAAAUGUUAUGUUUAAUGAAGAUGCUAGCUGAAACUUUGAUUCAGGGAAUGUUAAUUCGAAUAUUAAAUUGUCGCCUACUGAUGAGAUUUUUGAGCAAGAACCUGCAGCAGUUUCCAUUCCAGAGAACAUAUCCCGUUCUUCUCCAGUAAGUAGCAGACUUUCUACACCUCAAUCAAGCACCUCUGCUCCAGUAAGUGAUCACGGCUUAACCCCUCAAAGAAGUGGCAGUAUUUCCUCUUCAACAGACUCUUCUAGCGAGACUCCACCAACAAAAUUCAAAUCGUUGAGAGAGAUUUAUGAGACUUGUUCUUUUGCUUUGUAUGGUGCAGAACCCACUUGCUUCAAAGAAGCUACAGAGAUUCAAGUGUGGAAAAAUGCAAUGAUAGAAGAGAUGCUAGCAAUUGAGCAGAACCAAACAUGGGAGUUGGUGAAUCUUCCAGAUGGAAAGGAACCCAUUGGACUCAAAUGGGUGUUCAAAGUCAUGCGUCAUGCAGAUGGGAGCAUAUAGAGAUACAAAGCCAGGCUCGUAGCUAAGGGAUAUGCACAACAUCAAGGUAUUGAUUACGAUGAAACGUUUUCACCUGUUGCUCAUUUUGAAACAGUUAGAAUACUCUUAUCUUUGGCUGCUAAAUUGAGCUUGCCCAUUUAUCAAUUUGAUGUUAAAUCUGCAUUCCUAAAUGGGGAUUUAGAAGAGAAAGUUUAUGUUUGCCAACCUGAGGGUUUUGUUAUUAGUGGAAAUGAGAGAAAAGCUUACAAACUCAAGAAGGCACUUUACGGGCUAAAACAAGCACCAAGGGCAUAGUACAACAAAAUUGACUCCUACUUUCUGAGGUAUGGAUUUGAAAGGAGUGAGAAUGAGCCUACGUUGUAUGUAAAGAAACAAGGCACGAGUGAUUUUUUGGUAGUUUGUCUCUAUGUGGAUGACAUGAUUUAUAUGGGAUCAUAUGAAACUUUAGUUGCUGAAUUUAAAUCUUGCAUGAUGAACAACAACAACAACAAACCCAAUGUAUUCCCACCUGGUGGGGUCCAGGGGGGUAGGAUGUACGCAGUCCAUACCUCUACCUCUGAAGAAGUAGAAAGGCUGUUUCCGAUAGACCCCCGGCUCGAGACACGCGGUACCACACAAACACAUAGUAAAGCACAGCACAAGGUUACAAGAUUACAUAACAUGAUGAAGGAGUUUGAAAUGUCAGAUUUAGGUAUUUUGCAAUACUUUCUUGGUCUUCAAGUGAAACAGGUGGAGAACGGGAUUUUUAUUUCUCAAAUGAAAUAUGCAAAGAACCUCUCGUUCAAGUUUGGUAUGCAUGAUUGUAAAAUGGCUGCCACACCCAUGAAUGUAAAUGAAAAGUUUCAGCUUGAAGAUGACACAGAUCUUUCCGAUCCUAGUCAUUACAGAAGCUUGAUUGGAGGUUUGAACUACCUAACACAUACUCGUCCUGAUAUCAUAUUUUCUGUGAGUAUGUUAUCUAGGUAUAUGUAUUGUCCUACCAAGCAAUCUUGGUGCUGCCAAAAGAGUGUUGCGUUAUAUUACUGGGACUGUUGACUUCGGGAUUUGGUACUCUAAAAUUGCAGAUUUCAGCUUGAUAGGGUAUAGUGAUAGUGAUUGGGCAGGAAGUAUAGAUAACAGAAAGAGUACUUCUGGAAAUGUUUUCAAUUUAGGAUCUGGAGAAAUUUCUUGGAGUUUAAAGAAACAAGAUGUGGUUGCAUUAUCAUCAUCAGAAGCCCAGUAUGUUGCUGUAACUUCAGCAGCAUGUCAGGUCGUAUGGUUACAAAGAUUGUUGAUUGACGUUUUUUUUCGGCAAAAGGAUGCAACAAAGAUAUUCUAUGAUAACAAGGCAACAAUUGCAAUGACAAAAAAUCCAGCUUUUCACAGCAGAACAAAGCAGAUUGACAUCCGUUAUCAUUUCAUUCGUGAUCUAACAACAAAAGGUGAUAUAGAGUUAAAGUUCUGUGGUACAACGGAUCAAAUUGCAGAUGUCUUCACCAAGGCACUCCCACAAGCCAAGCAUGAUCAUUUUCGGCAGAAAUUUGGAGUUUGUAAUUUUGAAUCAAGGGGGGUGUUGAAUAUUGAUUCAAAGGUCGUUAGUGCUUCCUAGUUAGUUGGCAGAGUAACACGUUUGUUAGGAGUCCUAGUUUAGUUGAAGCAUAUCUCUGUUUCUAAUAUUUAGGUUAGUGGAUAAUUAGUGUUUAGUAAGUGGGCAUGUUUUUAGUAAGUGGUUAGGUUAUUUUUUAUUCCUAUUUAAAGAGUCCUACGUAACUUUGUUUAGUUGUAUGAAUGAAAAUACGUGAAGUUCUCUGUAACUAUAUUCUUCUUCUUAU